CUUUUAUGGGGUGACUGCGUACCUUUUGUAUAAUGGGUCAGCGACUUAUAUUCUGUAGCAAGGUUAACCGAAUAGGGGAGCCGAAGGGAAACCGAGUCUUAACUGGGCGUUAAGUUGCAGGGUAUAGACCCGAAACCCGGUGAUCUAGCCAUGGGCAGGUUGAAGGUUGGGUAACACUAACUGGAGGACCGAACCGACUAAUGUUGAAAAAUUAGCGGAUGACUUGUGGCUGGGGGUGAAAGGCCAAUCAAACCGGGAGAUAGCUGGUUCUCCCCGAAAGCUAUUUAGGUAGCGCCUCGUGAAUUCAUCUCCGGGGGUAGAGCACUGUUUCGGCAAGGGGGUCAUCCCGACUUACCAACCCGAUGCAAACUGCGAAUACCGGAGAAUGUUAUCACGGGAGACACACGGCGGGUGCUAACGUCCGUCG
Molecule: ribosomal RNA, 427 nt
Filed under: Escherichia coli
Lineage: Bacteria; Pseudomonadati; Pseudomonadota; Gammaproteobacteria; Enterobacterales; Enterobacteriaceae
Description: partial 23S ribosomal RNA
Rfam family: Bacterial large subunit ribosomal RNA
Source: RNAcentral